RNAcentral lists this non-coding RNA (30 nucleotides) under Rattus norvegicus (Norway rat). Lineage: Eukaryota; Metazoa; Chordata; Mammalia; Rodentia; Muridae. The record is from RNAcentral.
UACAAGGCCCAUAUCUUUGGGUGACCUUUA